Long non-coding RNA from Cyanistes caeruleus (blue tit), 4349 nucleotides. RefSeq lists it as uncharacterized. Lineage: Eukaryota; Metazoa; Chordata; Aves; Passeriformes; Paridae. The record is from RefSeq and is a predicted model, not a curated record.
GACUGUCCCUCAGUGAGGCACGAUCCUUUGUAAGGAUGAGGUAUCCCUACCCCACAUCAGCACUCGCAAAACCGACUAUUCUGCGUUUUAAAGCAGCUUUUAAGCCUCUGGGUCGGUAAAGUGAAGAAACUUUUCCAUUGCCCUGUCCACCUUUGCCCGAUUCUUUGCUCCUUCCGUUUGUGCCCAGCCUCUCCCGAGGGGAUGUGCCAAGCCUCCCCUCGCCAGGCUGCCGAGGUCGAGGGGUUACAGAUUUACAGCUGCCCGGACUUGCUCCGGCCCGGGCAGGAAUUCACUUGGCAUAAACGAGGCCUUUGGAUUAUUUAUCUCAGCCUUUCAGCUCAACAGGAACAUGCCCUGAUUUUAACAAUCGUGCUUCCUGCGCUGGGGGAAGGUGUGGCCGAUGGCAUUUAAACCCAAAGCCGAGCCAAGGCUUCCCCGGCAGGACCACGAGGGCUUCCUUCAGCACUCAAGGGCCUCCCUCAGGUUAUUUUAUCACCCCCAGCAAUAAUGAUGGGCACGAGGGUGAGAUCUGGGGAGUGUCAGGCUCCAUAUGCUGUCGCUGUUCAGGGCAUGGCAGCAGAAAAUCGCACAGGAGACGCUGGAGAACAGAGGAUGAACCUUUAGGCUUCCUCUGGAGGUCGAGGAAUCGCUCCCUGACCCUUUCGUGGUGCUGAGGGAACUGCCAGUGACAGCCUGGAGGGUCAAUCCCCUCCCUCCCUCCUCAAAAAAUGGUAUUUUCCCCAUCAUCCAGCCCAAAGCAGCUCAGUUGCAAGUCCUGAGAUCUUGUUACAAUGUUCAGCACUGUAAAAACUGUUUAUUUUAUUAAUCAGCACAGUAAACACUCAGAGCCCAGCUGUGAUCAGCCAGGGGGUCACAUCCAGUUUGGGAAGAGAUUCCUGCCCUGCCAUUCCGACGGUGACACCCAUCUCCCCUGUCUCAGACCACGGCCAUGGAUUAUUCUCCAUUAUUCACCAUUAUUUCCCAAGCCUUCUUUCCAGCCCAGGACUUCACACCCUCAUAGGUGGUUCUUACCAAACCACAGCUCUGUCUCCUACAAUCAAAUUCUGUGAGGAAAAGAAAAAUAAAAAAAAACAACAAACUCAAACCAGUAGCAACACAUGGAAAUGGGCUCCAGCGAAACCAGAAAUGCAGCCUAGAUUUUUAUAUGGAAAUAUAUGGAAUAUAUGGAAUGUCAAGGAUGUUUGAACCAGAAAAUGCCAAAUCCUGGCAAAGAGUGUCAGAAAAUGACUUUUAUGUUUUUAGGCCUCUUCACUCAGGUCUGAGGGCUGAAGUUUUCCAUUGCCCCAAGAUUUCUUACACAGUUGAUUGUUCCCCAGAGCAGCACAGCUCUGAGCUCUUGGGAGCCUGAGUGCCACCAGCAAGAACCUAGAGACAGGUAAAGAUAGAAACAUUCCAGGGCUGCUGAUUUUCAAAGCAAAGCAAACCAUCAAAUAAACGCUGCAUUUCCCCUGAAAGCAACCAGAAAGAGUCACUUGAAAUAAAUCAAAGUUGGUUUCACCUUCUUAACGCGCCGCAGGCCUGACAGAAGCGGUGUGAGCCGAAAGCAUCGGUGAACUGCCCCAUUUCUGAGGCUCCCAGCGUUUCAUCUCGCUCUGGAGCUCCGUGGAUCUCCAGGUGGCCUCUGCUGCCUGCACGGCGCGGCGCAAACCGCCGGGGAAAAGUGGGAAGGCGGAAAAUCGGCUCCCGAGAGAACGGGGGGGACUGAAAUCAGCACAGGCAGCUCCGUGUCUCAGCAAAAGCCGGCCUGCUUCGGGGGGAUGACUCAUUUCGGGAGCCUGAGCUCGCUCCCAGUCAUUAAGGAAGGAGUUAAUCCCUGCAGCUUUGGCCACAAAGUGGAUGUGUAAGGCCUGGAGUCCCAUGGGCUCGAUUGCAUAAGAAGCCAUGUAUUGUGGCAUUUAGUUGAUCAUGCACUACUUCUUCUGGUCACAUGGAGGCUUGAUUUCCCCUUGCAUCAGCUACUACAGACUUUUUACAUUUCUGGUCCUGCUAUUUGCUCAGUUCAUCGGGGUCAUCCCCUUCACCCCACAGCAGAGCCUGUGCUGCUCACCCCACCCUGACCCACGGCAUCUCACCCCAUUUUUUGUAGGAUCCUGGAAGAGGAACUUGUAAUUUCUCUCAUUUGUGUCUGUGCGUAACAGGUGUCAUUUUCAGUGUAGUACAGACAAAUCCCAAAAUAGCUCAGGCUCUUCAGACGCUGCGAGGAGAAAAAAAAUUCGUGGUUACUUCAGCUUUGGUUGUAGUGAAAAACCCAACGCCGGCAGCCGGCUCUGGAGUCGGAAUUAAAAUGGCAGACGGAGGAGCGGAGCAGGGCUCUCUCUGCAUUCCCCGUUCCCUGACGGACUGCUCCUCGCUGCUCCGUGUGUGCACAUCAACUCCCUCACACUGCUGCCUCUCCAGCAGCUCCCCUGAUUCCCAGGAGCUGCACCUACCACGGAUCCUCCUCCACACUUCCCGGUGCCGGCAGAGCUCCGCUUCCCCUGCCGGGUGCCGGGGCCGGCCGGAGGCACCGGAGUUAUUCCAGGGAUUUGGGGGGCAGAGGCGAGGAGAGAGCGUGCAGCUGCAAAAGGCUGCCUGCCUGGGGAUGAUGCCUGCUGUGCUGAAAUGCAGAGCUGCCUGUGGACUGUCUCUGUCGGGGAUUAUUGGAUUCUGGGGACUCCAGGAGCGCGGUUAUUAGUUCCCCUGCCCACGCCGAGCGUUUUGAAUCCGUGUGUGUGAUAACACUUAUUAAUGCUGCUCAGAUUAGGAAGAUCCUAUGGCUUUCCAGCACUUUCAGCACCUUAUCUCACACCACGCACCUGCCCAGCAGCUGAACCACGCUCAGAUCAGUGUCCUGUGGCCAGCAGAGCAGGGGCCAGCAGUAGCCCCGUGGCCACAAGUCCUGCAUUUGUUCACAGCAGCAGCUGCCUUGUGCUUCAGGGGACCUGCCUGCUGAGGAUUUGCAGGACCUGGGCCUAAAAUAUUUUAUUUCAGGAAGUCAAGCAGUGGUUCCUGUCACCGAAACAGUUAAUCAGAAAGCACCAACUCUCUACUGCAACGUGUGUGUGUGUGCACGUGUUUUUGUUUUUCAGAGCCAGCAAGAUUUGCUUUGGCUUUUUUAAAGCAGAAAACACCAAAAAAGUUGGCUGUGGUUUCAGCUGCUAUCGCUGGAGAUUUGUACUGCUGACUAGCAAUCCUAAAAGAGUUAACCUGGUAAGUAUGACUCAGAAGCAGAGAAGGAGAUGCGAGGCUGAGAGCCGGGGAGGAAGCGCAGAAACAGAGGUGAGGAACAGAAUAAUUGCCAAAAAAAGGUGCAGAGUCCAGGAGUGACGUUCCCUCCGGUCUGCCUGGCCCUGGCACCGCUGGCACGGGCUCCCUGGAAAGCUGCAGUUCCGCUCUUAUAACACAAGGAGCAGGCUGGAGAAUUUAGAGCUGCGUCACAGAGCUCAGCGAGAGAGUGAGAGAGCAAGCUCCGUCGAUAGGUCUACCAGCAACAGCCCUGCUGCAGCAAGAGGGGAGAGAGGCAGCAAGAGAGGCAGAGAGGGCUCCAGGAAGAGAAGUGGCACCAACACCACGGACUGGGCUCCUGCCACCAUCCACUGCCAUUUGUACCCCGUACUCGGGCUCGCUCGGCGUAGGAGGCUUCGCCCAUUGACGAUGCCGGAGACCCUGCGCGCUUAAUCCCACGGGGAGGGAGAGUGGGCAGAGACGCCGAAAGGGUUAACGGGAAGGAAAUUUCUGGAAGCUUCUCUUCUGCGGCGCUCCAGAGCGAGCGGAGGGCUGAGGACUGCGCAGAUGGUGCACGGGCACGGCUCCUCGGUCCGGUUCGUCUCCCUCACUGACCAGCAAUGAAGAUGGCAGCUCUGCCGGGAAGUGCUGAGGACACAGCCAGCCUUGAGCUUGGUCCUUCUGGCCGAGGAAGCCUCCCGAUUAUGCAGUGGAGUGGUCACCACUUGUACUGUCACACCCCUUGUCCUGCACCUGGCCCUGGGCUGAUUCAUUCCUUCACUGGGAGGAUGAUGCAUCAAGCUCAGAUUCUCAGCAUGUAAAACAGGGAUUAUUUUCUCCAGGGGAGACCAGAGCCUGAUGAACCACAACCUUCACCCCGUGAUGUGAAAAUGGAGGAAAACAUUUAUGAUGCACACUGAGAUCUGUUUUGCUUUCUGUAAAAGCCUUUCUAUACAGAAGGUGUAGGUUGUGAAAAACCAGGUCUGUGGCAUCCAGGCUUGCCUUGCUCCUGCAGACUGAAAGUCUCAGGGUAGAGAGGAAAUUCCCUUUCUCGGGGAAGCCAGGGAUUCCCUUUUUGUCUUUGUCUCCUAUGGAAUGUAUAAAGCAGUGUGAAGUCCAUGAAA